Molecule: long non-coding RNA, 703 nt
Organism: Gossypium raimondii (Peruvian cotton)
Lineage: Eukaryota; Viridiplantae; Streptophyta; Magnoliopsida; Malvales; Malvaceae
Exons: 2
Source: RefSeq, a predicted model, not a curated record
UUUCCAAAAACUUUCAUUUUUCUUUCUUCUUCAAAAAAACCCCCAAAAAUCCUCUCAACUCUCCCAUUUUCUCUCCGAGCGCCGGCCAAGGGUCCGGCCGAGGGCCACCGCACAGGUCGUCGGCGCCGGCUCCGCCGUACACGGCGGCGGGAAGACCAAAAGUCUCCCUUUUUUUCGCCGAAUGGUCUCCUCGUCCUCCUGAUCGCUCCGGCAUCGAUAAAAAGGGGCGAUUGGAGCAGGUGGGGUUGGUGGCGAUGUGACUGUGGCAGUGGCAAGUGGGCAGGUGGCCGUGACUUACGGCGUUGGAGGCUGAAGACCUAGGUGCGGCGCACCUAGGGUUUUCCCUUAGUUGAAAAUUGGCAUAAUUUUUUGGGCCAUUUGGGCUUAGGGUUUGAUUUGUUUGGGUUGUGUUGUUUUUGGGUUUGUUUUGGGCUGUUUGGAUUUAAUUUGGGCUUGAUGUGUCAUGGGUUGUUUGGGUUUAAUUUGUUUUGGGUUUGCUAAAAGUUUGGGUUUGUAUUGGUUUUGGCCCCGGGAAAAUUUGGGCUGUUCAAGUAGCAUGAGAGGUGAAUACAAUAUUCCAAUAUGGAAGAAUGCAUUGGCGGAAUCCAGUCGUAACAUAUUGAGUAACAUCGGUAUCAAAGACAUGAUGUAUUAGCAAAUGAGAUCCAAUGAUAAGUGCUAAAAGUAACAUGUUUUAACUUUA